GACGAACGCUGGCGGCGUGCCUAAUACAUGCAAGUAGAACGCACAGUUUAUACCGUAGCUUGCUACACCAUAGACUGUGAGUUGCGAACGGGUGAGUAACGCGUAGGUAACCUGCCUGGUAGCGGGGGAUAACUAUUGGAAACGAUAGCUAAUACCGCAUAAUAUUAAUUAUUGCAUGAUAAUUAAUUGAAAUGUGCAAUUGCACCACUACCAGAUGGACCUGCGUUGUAUUAGCUAGUAGGUGAGGUAACGGCUCACCUAGGCGACGAUACAUAGCCGACCUGGGAGGGUGGUCGGCCACACUGGGAAUGAGACAAGGCACAGACUCCUACGGGAGGGAGCAGUAGGGAAUCUUCGGCAAUGGACGAAAGUCUGACCGAGCAACGCCGCGUGAGUGAAGAAGGUUUUCGGAUCGUAAAGCUCUGUUGUAAGAGAAGAACGGGUGUGAGAGUGGAAAGUUCACACUGUGACGGUAUCUUACCAGAAAGGGACGGCUAACUACGUG
Molecule: ribosomal RNA, 505 nt
Filed under: uncultured bacterium
Lineage: Bacteria
Description: partial 16S ribosomal RNA
Rfam family: Bacterial small subunit ribosomal RNA
Source: RNAcentral